GAUGAACGCUGGCGGCGUGCCUAAUACAUGCAAGUCGAGCGAACAGACGAGGAGCUUGCUCCUCUGACGUUAGCGGCGGACGGGUGAGUAACACGUGGAUAACCUACCUAUAAGACUGGGAUAACUUCGGGAAACCGGAGCUAAUACCGGAUAAUAUAUUGAACCGCAUGGUUCAAUAGUGAAAGACGGUUUUGCUGUCACUUAUAGAUGGAUCCGCGCCGCAUUAGCUAGUUGGUAAGGUAACGGCUUACCAAGGCAACGAUGCGUAGCCGACCUGAGAGGGUGGUCGGCCACCCUGGAACUUAGACACGGUCCAGACUCCUACGGGAGGCAGCAGUAGGGAAUCUUCCGCAAUGGGCGAAAGCCUGACGGAGCAACGCCGCGUGAGUGAUGAAGGUCUUCGGAUCGUAAAACUCUGUUAUGAGUGAAGAACAAAUGUGUAAGUAACUAUGCACGUCUUGACGGUACCUAAUCAGAAAGCCACGGCUAACUACGUG
This 497-nucleotide ribosomal RNA is filed under the name uncultured bacterium. RNAcentral's name for it is "partial 16S ribosomal RNA". It matches the Rfam family "Bacterial small subunit ribosomal RNA", at positions 28 to 507 of the family's 1533-position model. The record is from RNAcentral.